Molecule: long non-coding RNA, 525 nt
Organism: Hyla sarda
Lineage: Eukaryota; Metazoa; Chordata; Amphibia; Anura; Hylidae
Exons: 3
Source: RefSeq, a predicted model, not a curated record
CACAAGGUCUGACUAUACACAGGACAUUUAUCACAAAGCAUAAACAGUAUGGAGUAUGGAAACAGCAGACUUCUUGCUGCCAGGAUCUAGCCAGAAAAACUGCUGUCAAUAGUUUUCAAUCCGGCUCCUAGCCUUAUCGGGUACAACGACUGAUAUGUCUGAUGCCAGGAUGCCCACACCAGGUGUAUAGUGCAUGCCCAGACCAGAGUGCUACCUACAGCUGCUAACUCGGGCGUCAGAUCACCUUCAGAGAAAUCCUAUGCUGAGAAGAGACGUGGAAGUUUCUUGCCACUAAUAUUCAAGACCCCCUUAUGAGGAUUAAGGGUAAAAAGUAGAGUCUCAUUAGAAUCCACUCCUGGGCAUGGAUCCACAAUAACGCCACAGCAGCUUUGAGGCUUCACUGCAAGAACAGUUAUACUAUGAUUAUGUGUGGGAACAGUGGCUGUCCAAUAGCAGGCAAGCACUUAAAGGAGAAGUAUCAUGUAAAAAAAAAAACUAUCCCCUAUCCAAAAAAUAGGAGAUACG